This 467-nucleotide ribosomal RNA is filed under the name uncultured bacterium. RNAcentral describes it as "partial 16S ribosomal RNA". It matches the Rfam family "Bacterial small subunit ribosomal RNA", at positions 29 to 507 of the family's 1533-position model. The record is from RNAcentral.
ACGAACGCUGGCGGCGUGCUUAACACAUGCACGUCGAACGGAAAGGCCCUGCUUUUGUGGGGUGCUCGAGUGGCGAACGGGUGAGUAACACGUGAGUAACCUGCCCUUGACUUUGGGAUAACUUCAGGAAACUGGGGCUAAUACCGGAUAGGAGCUCCUGCUGCAUGGUGGGGGUUGGAAAGUUUCGGCGGUUGGGGAUGGACUCGCGGCUUAUCAGCUUGUUGGUGGGGUAGUGGCUUACCAAGGCUUUGACGGGUAGCCGGCCUGAGAGGGUGACCGGCCACAUUGGGACUGGGAUACGGCCCAGACUCCUACGGGAGGCAGCAGUGGGGAAUAUUGCACAAUGGGCGGAAGCCUGAUGCAGCAACGCCGCGUGCGGGAUGACGGCCUUCGGGUUGUAAACCGCUUUCGCCUGUGACGAAGCGUGAGUGACGGUAAUGGGUAAAGAAGCACCGGCUAACUACGUG